RNAcentral lists this ribosomal RNA (324 nucleotides) under Triticum aestivum (bread wheat). Its description in RNAcentral is "partial small subunit ribosomal RNA". Lineage: Eukaryota; Viridiplantae; Streptophyta; Magnoliopsida; Poales; Poaceae. The record is from RNAcentral.
AGGUUCGAUCGAAGGAACAAUCAGGAUAUAUCUGAUUGGGCAAACAAACACCAUGCAUGGAUACAAAUUUGGGAUCAAAGAGACACGCUAGUGCAAUCAGAGAAUAGACCUCACAAUCAGUCAGCAUAUCAGAAGUAUCAAGUGUGGUAUGCGGAUCGUUACCGGUUAAAGCUAAAGCCUGGUUGGACUCACGAGGAGUGGUCGGAGUUGGUGUCUGAAGACCCGGAGACUGCAGAAGGUUAUCAGACCUUCAACACGGCUGUGAGAGACACCAGAGGGGCUCAUGUUGACUAUGCACCGAUGCAUGACGAAAUGGUAGUCUAA